This 449-nucleotide ribosomal RNA is filed under the name uncultured Leptolyngbya sp. Its description in RNAcentral is "bacterial SSU rRNA". It matches the Rfam family "Bacterial small subunit ribosomal RNA", at positions 8 to 499 of the family's 1533-position model. The record is from RNAcentral. Lineage: Bacteria; Bacillati; Cyanobacteriota; Cyanophyceae; Leptolyngbyales; Leptolyngbyaceae.
AGGCUUUGAUCCUGGCUCAGGAUGAACGCUGGCGGUCUGCUUAACACAUGCAAGUCGAACGGAGUACUUCGGUACUUAGUGGCGGACGGGUGAGUAACGCGUGAGAAUCUGCCCUUAGGACGGGGACAACAGCUGGAAACGGCUGCUAAUACCCGAUGUGCCGAGAGGUGAAACAUUUUAUGGCCUGAGGAUGAGCUCGCGUCUGAUUAGCUAGUUGGUGGGGUAAGAGCCUACCAAGGCGACGAUCAGUAGCUGGUCUGAGAGGAUGAUCAGCCACACUGGGACUGAGACACGGCCCAGACUCCUACGGGAGGCAGCAGUGGGGAAUUUUCCGCAAUGGGCGCAAGCCUGACGGAGCAAGACCGCGUGCGGGAGGACGGCCUAUUGGUUGUAAACCGCUUUUGAUAGGGAAGAGGCACUGACGGUACCUAUCGAAUCAGCAUCGGCUA